Molecule: ribosomal RNA, 468 nt
Filed under: uncultured bacterium
Lineage: Bacteria
Description: partial 16S ribosomal RNA
Rfam family: Bacterial small subunit ribosomal RNA
Source: RNAcentral
GACGAACGCUGGCGGCGUGCUUAACACAUGCAAGUCGAACGGAAAGGCCCUGCUUUUGUGGGGUGCUCGAGUGGCGAACGGGUGAGUAACACGUGAGUAACCUGCCCUUGACUUUGGGAUAACUUCAGGAAACUGGGGCUAAUACCGGAUAGGAGCUCCUGCUGCAUGGUGGGGGUUGGAAAGUUUCGGCGGUUGGGGAUGGACUCGCGGCUUAUCAGCUUGUUGGUGGGGUAGUGGCUUACCAAGGCUUUGACGGGUAGCCGGCCUGAGAGGGUGACCGGCCACAUUGGUCCUGAGAGACGGCCCAGACUCCUACGGGAGGCAGCAGUGGGGAAUAUUGCACAAUGGGCGGAAGCCUGAUGCAGCAACGCCGCGUGCGGGAUGCCGGCUUUCGGGUUGUAAACCGCUUUCGCCUGUGACGAAGCGUGAGUGACGGUAAUGAGUAAAGAAGCACCGGCUAACUACGUG